UGGGGAAUUUUGGACAAUGGGGGAAACCCUGAUCCAGCCAUCCCGCGUGUGCGAUGAAGGCCUUCGGGUUGUAAAGCACUUUUGGCAGGAAAGAAACGUCAUGGGUUAAUACCCCGUGAAACUGACGGUACCUGCAGAAUAAGCACCGGCUAACUACGUGCCAGCAGCCGCGGUAAUACGUAGGGUGCAAGCGUUAAUCGGAAUUACUGGGCGUAAAGCGUGCGCAGGCGGUUCGGAAAGAAAGAUGUGAAAUCACAGAGCUCAACUUUGGAACUGCAUUUUUAACUACCGGGCUAGAGUGUGUCAGAGGGAGGUGGAAUUCCGCGUGUAGCAGUGAAAUGCGUAGAUAUGCGGAGGAACACCGAUGGCGAAGGCAGCCUCCUGGGAUAACACUGACGCUCAUGCACGAAAGCGUGGGGAGCAAACAGG
Molecule: ribosomal RNA, 429 nt
Filed under: Acidobacteriota bacterium
Lineage: Bacteria; Pseudomonadati; Acidobacteriota
Description: Acidobacteria bacterium partial 16S ribosomal RNA
Rfam family: Bacterial small subunit ribosomal RNA
Source: RNAcentral